Molecule: ribosomal RNA, 491 nt
Filed under: uncultured bacterium
Lineage: Bacteria
Description: partial 16S ribosomal RNA
Rfam family: Bacterial small subunit ribosomal RNA
Source: RNAcentral
AGUGAACGCUGGCGGUAGGCCUAACACAUGCAAAUCGAACGGCAGCACAGUAAGAGCUUGCUCUUACGGGUGGCGAGUGGCGGACGGGUGAGGAAUACAUCGGAAUCUACUUUUUCGUGGGGGAUAACGUAGGGAAACUUACGCUAAUACCGCAUACGACCUACGGGUGAAAGCAGGGGAUCUUCGGACCUUGCGCGAUUGAAUGAGCCGAUGUCGGAUUAGCUAGUUGGCGGGGUAAGGCCCACCAAGGCGACGAUCCGUAGCUGGUCUGAGAGGAUGAUCAGCCACACUGGAACUGAGACACGGUCCAGACUCCUACGGGAGGCAGCAGUGGGGAAUAUUGGACAAUGGGCGCAAGCCUGAUCCAGCCAUACCGCGUGGGUGAAGAAGGCCUUCGGGUUGUAAAGCCCUUUUGUUGGGAAAGAAAAGCAGCAGGUUAAUACCCCGCUGUUCUGACGGUACCCAAAGAAUAAGCACCGGCUAACUUCGUG